Molecule: ribosomal RNA, 498 nt
Filed under: Myosotella myosotis (mouse ear snail)
Lineage: Eukaryota; Metazoa; Mollusca; Gastropoda; Ellobiida; Ellobiidae
Description: partial 16S ribosomal RNA
Rfam family: Bacterial large subunit ribosomal RNA
Source: RNAcentral
UUCGCCUGUUUAUCAAAAACAUAGCCUUGUGGAACAUUCAAGGCAAGCCCUAACCGGUGAUAUAUUUAAACGGCCGCAGUACCCUGACUGUGCUAAGGUAGCGUAAUCAGUUGUCUUUUAAUUGGGGACUUGUAUGAAUGGGCCCAUGGGGGCCUACUGUCUCCUGGGUGCUUUUCAGAAAUUGACAGAAGGGUGAAAACUCCCUUAAAAAGAUAAAAGACGAGAAGACCCUAAGAACCUCGGACACUACGACCACUCGUCGCAAGCUUUUGUUGGGGCGACAACGGAGCACAAAGCCUACAAACCUCCGGCACUACUGGCUAACCCGCCGACACUGGUAUGAGAGAUUAGGUUACCUUAGGGAUAACAGCAUAAUUAUUAAUAGUUUGUGACCUCGAUGUUGGACUAGGGACCUUUAGGAUUAGAAGUCCAAGAGGCAAGUUCUGUUCGAACUACACCAAUCCCUACAUGAUCUGAGUUCAGACCGGGAGCCGCGGG